RNAcentral lists this ribosomal RNA (368 nucleotides) under uncultured organism. Its description in RNAcentral is "bacterial SSU rRNA". It matches the Rfam family "Bacterial small subunit ribosomal RNA", at positions 526 to 896 of the family's 1533-position model. The record is from RNAcentral.
CGGAGGGUGCAAGCGUUAUCCGGAUUCACUGGGUUUAAAGGGUGCGUAGGCGGGCAGGUAAGUCAGUGGUGAAAUCCUAGAGCUUAACUCUAGAACUGCCAUUGAUACUAUCUGUCUUGAAUAUUGUGGAGGUAAGCGGAAUAUGUCAUGUAGCGGUGAAAUGCUUAGAUAUGACAUAGAACACCUAUUGCGAAGGCAGCUUACUACGCAUAUAUUGACGCUGAGGCACGAAAGCGUGGGGAUCAAACAGGAUUAGAUACCCUGGUAGUCCACGCCCUAAACGAUGAUUACUCGACAUUUGAGAUACACUUUAAGUGUCUGAGCGAAAGCAUUAAGUAAUCCACCUGGGAAGUACGACCGCAAGGUUG